UACGAAGGGUGCAAGCGUUACUCGGAAUUACUGGGCGUAAAGAGCUCGUAGGUGGUUUGUCGCGUUGUUCGUGAAAACUCACAGCUUAACUGUGGGCGUGCGGGCGAUACGGGCAGGCUCGAGUUCGGUAGGGGAGACUGGAAUUCCUGGUGUAGCGGUGAAAUGCGCAGAUAUCAGGAGGAACACCGAUGGCGAAGGCAGGUCUCUGGGCCGAUACUGACGCUGAGGAGCGAAAGCGUGGGGAGCGAACAGG
This 253-nucleotide ribosomal RNA is filed under the name uncultured bacterium. Its description in RNAcentral is "partial 16S ribosomal RNA". It matches the Rfam family "Bacterial small subunit ribosomal RNA", at positions 524 to 776 of the family's 1533-position model. The record is from RNAcentral.